Odocoileus virginianus texanus is the source of this 333-nucleotide non-coding RNA. Lineage: Eukaryota; Metazoa; Chordata; Mammalia; Artiodactyla; Cervidae. The record is from RefSeq and is a predicted model, not a curated record.
GCUUUCGUCCCCGCCAUGGCUGAGCUAAUCCAGAAGAAGCUCCAGGGAGAGGUGGAGAAAUAUCAACAGCUGCAGAAGGACUUGAGUAUAUCCAUGUCAGGGAAGCAGAAACUAGAGGCACAACUAACAGAGAAUAAUACCGUGAAGGAGGAACUGGCCCUGCUGGAUGGGUCCAACGUGGUGUUUAAACUUCUGGGCCCGGUGCUGGUCAAACAGGAGCUGGGGGAAGCUCGGGCCACAGUGGGGAAAAGGCUGGACUACAUCACAGCUGAGAUUAAGCGAUAUGAAUCCCAGCUCCGGGACCUAGAGCGGCAGAGCCAUAAAAAAGAAUGA